This 230-nucleotide ribosomal RNA is filed under the name uncultured bacterium. RNAcentral describes it as "partial 16S ribosomal RNA". It matches the Rfam family "Bacterial small subunit ribosomal RNA", at positions 118 to 345 of the family's 1533-position model. The record is from RNAcentral.
UGAGGAACAUGACUUUCGGCGGGGGAUAGCCGGCCCAACGGCCGGGUAAUACCGCGUACGACCACAUGGGGACAUCCCUGAGUGGUGAAAGCAGCAAUGCGCCGAUGGAGUGCCUCGCGGCCUAUUAGCUAGUUGGUGAGGUAACGGCUCACCAAGGCGACGACGGGUAGCUGGUCUGAGAGGAUGGCCAGCCACAGUUGGGACUGAGACACGGUCCAGACUCCGUAGGG